RNAcentral lists this ribosomal RNA (722 nucleotides) under uncultured bacterium. RNAcentral describes it as "bacterial SSU rRNA". It matches the Rfam family "Bacterial small subunit ribosomal RNA", at positions 65 to 777 of the family's 1533-position model. The record is from RNAcentral.
AGGGGCAUCAGGAAGAAAGCUUGCUUUCUUUGCUGGCGACCGGCGCACGGGUGAGUAACACGUAUCCAACCUACCCUUUACUCGGGGAUAGCCUUUCGAAAGAAAGAUUAAUACCCGAUGGGAUGAUUAUUCCGCAUGGUUUGAUUAUUAAAGGAUUCCGGUAAAGGAUGGGGAUGCGUUCCAUUAGGUUGUUGGCGGGGUAACGGCCCACCAAGCCUUCGAUGGAUAGGGGUUCUGAGAGGAAGGUCCCCCACAUUGGAACUGAGACACGGUCCAAACUCCUACGGGAGGCAGCAGUGAGGAAUAUUGGUCAAUGGACGAGAGUCUGAACCAGCCAAGUAGCGUGAAGGAUGACUGCCCUAUGGGUUGUAAACUUCUUUUAUACGGGAAUAAAGUGAGGCACGUGUGCCUUUUUGUAUGUACCGUAUGAAUAAGGAUCGGCUAACUCCGUGCCAGCAGCCGCGGUAAUACGGAGGAUCCGAGCGUUAUCCGGAUUUAUUGGGUUUAAAGGGAGCGUAGGCGGACGCUUAAGUCAGUUGUGAAAGUUUGCGGCUCAACCGUAAAAUUGCAGUUGAUACUGGGUGUCUUGAGUACAGUAGAGGCAGGCGGAAUUCGUGGUGUAGCGGUGAAAUGCUUAGAUAUCACGAAGAACUCCGAUUGCGAAGGCAGCUUGCUGGACUGUAACUGACGCUGAUGCUCGAAAGUGUGGGUAUCAAACAGGA